Molecule: ribosomal RNA, 484 nt
Filed under: uncultured bacterium
Lineage: Bacteria
Description: partial 16S ribosomal RNA
Rfam family: Bacterial small subunit ribosomal RNA
Source: RNAcentral
AAUGAACGCUGGCGGCAGGCCUAACACAUGCAAGUCGAACGAAAGCAGCGGGCCUGCUGCUGCAUGGGUGGGUAGAGGGGGGGGAAAUGCCCAUGGAUCUGCAUGAACGCGGGGGAUGAGGUGCGAAUACGGGCGCUUAUACUGCAACCGACGAGUUGGCGCCUGUGGGGGAGCCUGGGAUCGCUCGCUCUCAUGGGAGGCUAGGUCGGAUUAGCUAGUUGGUGGGGUAAUGGGCUACAAAGGAGACGAACCGAAACUGGUCUGAGAGGACGAUCAGACACCCUGGAUCUGAGACACGGCACAGACUCCUACGGGAGGCAGCAGUGCGGAAUAUUGGACAAUGGGCGAAAGCCUGAUCCAGCCAUGCCGCGGGUGUGAAGAAGGUCUUCUGCUUGUAAAGCGCUUUAGGUCGUAAGGAAGGACAGCAAGUUAAUACCUUACGAUUAUGACGUUACCGACAGAAUAAGCACCGGCUAACUUCGUG